GAUAGACAAUGACCAAUGUGGAAAACAUUGUGAAUCCAUCACAAGAUGUGAGAACGUUGGACCAUACAGAGCAUCAUGGACAAGUGAUCAAAGUCAUCCCACCCAGGAGAAGCUGCUCAACUACUUGUUGGACAUUGAGAAGCCAGCGACAGAGUUGAUUGUGAAAACAAGAAAGAGUGUCCUGACACGUGCUGACUUUUGGAGCCUUGGUUUGAACAAUGAAAUGGACGCAACAAUUGGAAAUGCGUGCUUUGAGCUAAUCGAACAAAUUGCUCAAUCAAAGG
Cyprinodon variegatus (sheepshead minnow) is the source of this 284-nucleotide long non-coding RNA. RefSeq lists it as uncharacterized. Lineage: Eukaryota; Metazoa; Chordata; Actinopteri; Cyprinodontiformes; Cyprinodontidae. The transcript is spliced from 3 exons. The record is from RefSeq and is a predicted model, not a curated record.